UACGGAGGGUGCAAGCGUUAUCCGGAUUCACUGGGUUUAAAGGGUGCGUAGGUGGGCAGGUAAGUCAGUGGUGAAAUCUCCGGGCUUAACCCGGAAACUGCCAUUGAUACUAUCAGUCUCGAAUACCGUGGAGGUAAGCGGAAUAUGUCAUGUAGCGGUGAAAUGCUUAGAUAUGACAUAGAACACCAAUUGCGAAGGCAGCUUACUACCCGAAUAUUGACACUGAGGCACGAAAGCGUGGGGAUCAAACAGG
Molecule: ribosomal RNA, 253 nt
Filed under: uncultured bacterium
Lineage: Bacteria
Description: partial 16S ribosomal RNA
Rfam family: Bacterial small subunit ribosomal RNA
Source: RNAcentral